This 400-nucleotide ribosomal RNA is filed under the name phytoplankton environmental sample. RNAcentral describes it as "partial small subunit ribosomal RNA". It matches the Rfam family "Eukaryotic small subunit ribosomal RNA", at positions 587 to 983 of the family's 1831-position model. The record is from RNAcentral.
AGCUCCAGUAGCGUAUAUUAAAGUUGUUGCAGUUAAAAAGCUCGUAGUUGGAUUUCUGGUACGCUGCGCCUGGCCCGCCCGCGAUAGCGGUGUGAGUGCUGGUGCGCGGUUGCCAUCCUUCUAGAGAACGGGUCUGCCCUUGAUUGGGAGGGAUUCGGGAUCUAGAUCAUUUACUUUGAAAAAAUUAGAGUGUUUAAAGCAGGCUUUUGCUAUGAAUACAUUAGCAUGGAAUAAUAAUAUAGGACUUUGGUUCUAUUUUGUUGGUUUCUAGGACUAAAGUAAUGAUUGAUAGGGAUAGUUGGGGGUGCUAGUAUUCAGCGGCCAGAGGUGAAAUUCUUGGAUUCGCCGGAGACUAACUUAUGCGAAAGCAUUCACCAAGGAUGUCUUCUUUAAUCAAGAA